UUUAAGCGCACCCAUAAGUUUUCGUAUCCAACUUUAAUCGUCCGUCUUAUUUCAAUUUUUUUUAUGAUUACUAUUUUUAUUGUCAUUAAAUGAUAAAACAUGAAUAGUAAUUUAUGUGUGAGAUAUGUUUUUGACCUUUUUAAAACAAAAUAAGACGAACGAUUAAAUUAGAUAUGGAAACUCAUGGCUGCGCUUAAA
This is a non-coding RNA of Oryza glumipatula, 198 nucleotides long. The record is from Rfam. NCBI's taxonomy places the organism in Eukaryota, Viridiplantae, Streptophyta, Magnoliopsida, Poales, Poaceae.